RNAcentral lists this non-coding RNA (28 nucleotides) under Bombyx mori (domestic silkworm). Lineage: Eukaryota; Metazoa; Arthropoda; Insecta; Lepidoptera; Bombycidae. The record is from RNAcentral.
UAAUGGUAGACCCUAAAUAAUUAAUCUC